ACGGGGGAUGUGGUCUAAUGAACAGUAGAAUGUUACGGGGGAUGUUGUCUUAUGAACAGUAGAAUGGUACGGGGGAUGUGGUCUUAUGAACAGUAGGAUUGGACAGGGGUUAUUGUUUUAUGAACAGUAGGAUGGUAUGGGGGUUGUUGUCUUAUGAACAGUAGGAUGGUACAGGGGUUGUUGUCUUAUGAACCGUAGGAUGGUACAGGGGUUGUUGUUUUACGAACAGUAGGAUGGAACGGGGGAUGUGGUCUUAUGAACAGUAGGAUGGUAUGGGUAUGUUGUUUUAUGAACAGUAGGAUGGUACGGGGGUUUGGUCUUAUGAACAGUAGGAUGUUACGGGGAUUGUUGUCUUAUGAACAGUAGGAUGGUACAGGUGUUGUUGACCUAUGAACAGUAGGAUGGUACGGGGAUGUUGUCUUAUGAACAUUAGGAUGGUACGGGGGAUGUUGUCUUAUGAACAGUAGGAUGGUACGGGGGAUGUGGUCUUAUGAACAGUAGGAUGGUACGGGGGAUGUUGUUUUAUGAACAGUAGGAUGGUACGGAGGAUGUUGUCUUAUGAACAGUAGGAUGGUACUGGGGAUGUUGUCUUAUGAACAGUAGGAUUGUACAGGGGUUGUUGUCUUAUGAACAGUAGGAUGGUAUGGGGGUUGUUGUCUUAUGAACAGUAGGAUGGUACGGGGAUUGUUGUUUUAUGAACAGUAGGAUGGUACGGGGAUUGUUGUUUUAUGAACAGUAGGAUUGUACGGGGGUUGUUGUGAACAGUAGGAUGGUACGGGGGUUGUUGUCUUAUGACCAGUAGGAUUGUACGGGGGUUGUUGUGAACAGUAGGAUGGUACGGGGGAUGUGGUCUUAUGAACAGUAGGAUUGUACAGGGGUUGUUGUCGUAUGAACAGUAGGAUGGUAUGGGGGUUGUUGUCUUAUGAACAGUAGGAUGGUACAGGGGUUGUUGUCUUAUGAACCGUAGGAUGGUACAGGGGUUGUUGUCUUAUGAACAGUAGGAUGGAAUGGGGGAUGUGGUCUUAUGAACAGUAGGAUGGUAUGGGUAUGUUGUUUUAUGAACAGUAGGAUGGUACGGGGG
Molecule: long non-coding RNA, 1081 nt
Organism: Oncorhynchus tshawytscha (Chinook salmon)
Lineage: Eukaryota; Metazoa; Chordata; Actinopteri; Salmoniformes; Salmonidae
Source: Ensembl